This 1217-nucleotide ribosomal RNA is filed under the name Solenopsis invicta (red fire ant). Its description in RNAcentral is "SSU rRNA". It matches the Rfam family "Eukaryotic small subunit ribosomal RNA", at positions 119 to 1266 of the family's 1831-position model. The record is from RNAcentral. Lineage: Eukaryota; Metazoa; Arthropoda; Insecta; Hymenoptera; Formicidae.
AUUAGAUUGUACCAACAUUUACUUGGAUAACUGUGGUAAUUCUAGAGCUAAUACAUGCAAAACAGAGAACUGACCAGUGAUGGAAGGAACGCUUUUAUUAGAUCAAAACCAAUCGGUGGCCCGCGGUCCGCCGUGCGUCCACCGUUUAUUUUGAUGACUCUGAAUAACUUUGUGCUGACCGUACGGUCUCUGCACCGGCGACGCAUCUUUCAAAUGUCUGCCUUAUCAACUGUCGAUGGUAGGUUCUGCGCCUACCAUGUUUGUAACGGGUAACGGGGAAUCAGGGUUCGAUUCCGGAGAGGGAGCCUGAGAAACGGCUACAACAUCCAAAGAAGGCAGCAGGCGCAUAAAUUACCCACUCCCGGCACGGGGAGGUAGUGACGAAAAAUAACGAUACGGGACUCAUCCGAGGCCCCGUAAUCGGAAUGAGUACACUUUAAAUCCUUUAACGAGGAUCCAUUGAAAUGCAAGUCUGAUGCCAGCAGCCGCGGUAAUUCCAGCUCCAAUAUCGUAUAUUAAAGUUGUUGCGGUUAAAAAGCUCGUAGCUGUAUCUGUGUCGCACACCGUCGGUUCAUCGCUCGCGGUGUUUAACUGGCGUGAUGUGGGACGUCCUACCGGUGGGCUUUGCCUCGCGAGGGGCGGCACAACUAAUAUCCCGUCGCGGUGCUCUUUACUGAGUGUCGAGUCGGGCCGGUACGUUUACUUUGAACAAAUUAGAGUGCUUAAAGCAGGCUAUCCUCGCCUGAAUACUGCGUGCAUGGAUUAAUGGAAUAGGACCUCGGUUCUAUUUUGUUGGUUUUCGGAACCCCGAGGUAAUGAUUAAUAGGGACAGAUGGGGGCAUUCGUAUUGCGACGUUAGAGGUGAAAUUCUUGGAUCGUCGCAAGAUGGACAGAAGCGAAAGCAUUUGCCAAAAAUGUUUUCAUUAAUCAAGAACGAAAGUUAGAGGUUCGAAGGCGAUCAGAUACCGCCCUAGUUCUAACCAUAAACGAUGCCAGCUAGCGAUCCGCCGAAGUUCCUCCGAUGACUCGGCGGGCAGCUUCCGGGAAACCAAAGCUUUUGGGUUCCGGGGGAAGUAUGGUUGCAAAGCUGAAACUUAAAGGAAUUGACGGAAGGGCACCACCAGGAGUGGAGCCUGCGGCUUAAUUUAACUCAACACGGGAAACCUCACCAGGCCCAGACACCGGAAGGAUUGACAGAUUGAUAGCUCUUUCUUGAU